This 1497-nucleotide long non-coding RNA is filed under the name Callithrix jacchus (white-tufted-ear marmoset). RNAcentral's name for it is "lncRNA (ENSCJAG00000085306.1)". The record is from RNAcentral. Lineage: Eukaryota; Metazoa; Chordata; Mammalia; Primates; Cebidae.
AUGAGCUGUUCGCAUCGACUGCUAAUAAUGGCGGGGCAGCGCCAGUGCGGCUCAGCGCUACGGCUGCAAGGCUGGGGGCCCUGGCGUCUGGGCUCAGCCGGGGACAGUUUUCACGCGAGGCAGAGCCUGGCUGGAGGUCGCAGGGCGGUGGAGAGCGAGGGCAUGAGGGAGGGUGCUGGGAACCGCGCAGUGUCGGUGGCCAAGCAUCCCUCCGACGCAACCCCAGGGGAAGAGGGCAGGACCCUGGACCCCGCCCGGGGCUGCGCGUGCCUAAGCUUGGGGGACAUGCAGAAGGGCACCAAACCCGCCCCAGUGCAGAGUUCUACUUUGUUCGGUGACUUCGCACGCUCGUUGGAGGGAGCUGAGGGUGCCCCAGUGCACCUGCGCUGAGGUUUUAGUAGCUGGCCCCACCUGCGUCUCAGGUGAGCCGCUGCAGGAAGGGCCCUCCCAGGCAUCCCUCGGUUCCUGCUAGCAGGAGUGAGGCCCUCCGGAGCCUGCGGAGGUGACCCCUACGCCCUGGCUCAUGGGCGGCAAAGGAAAAUGUGUGCUGUCCCUUUAAGCCCCCGGCCACCGCCACCUCCCGGCCCCAUCCCCCUUCAAUUUAAUUUCAUUAAAACAGAGCAUGAAUAUUUCUAUUAAACCUAAAAUGAAAUAUGAAGCCAUUUAGACUCUGCCUGCACCAAUCACCCAGAUUUAUGACUUUUAUUCAUCACAUCAAGAGCUUGGAAAAAUGAAUUUUCUUCACCCAGGAAGGAAAUAAAACCUCAGGCUUGGUCAUUUCCAGAAAGCUGUUAAUUUGACCAUGUGGUAAUUACUUUCACAAUUAACUAAAAUACAAAUCAACUUGACAAAUUGGGCUAGUUUAUAUAUUAAUUAGCCCCCUUAAAUUUAUUCAUUAUGAAAAGACAAUUUAAGGGGACCUGUGGUGUCUGUUUUAUUGCAAUAAAUUAUUGUUAGGAAAUGGGUUUAAUAAAAUAUCUUAAUAUUUAAGGAUAUUGUAUACGCGGGGGGUAUGCUUUAUUGACAAUUUCAUUUUCCAAUUAGUAAUUUUGUUGUAAUAUAUCUGCGAACCGGGGACUCCCGGGCGGGGAGGCAGGAUUCUCCCGGCUGGGGCGGUCUGAGUAGCUGGGUCUGAGGCUCGGGCUAAGAAGAGCAAAUUCUGUGGAAAGGGCCGCGUCCGACCGGCGCAAACGUUCGGUUCGUAGCAGGAACCACUCCAGGCGGCCACCGAACCCCCGGCCCAGGACUCGGCACUCCUGGAGCCCUCCUCCCCACGCAGGCCUCGGGGGCUGAUUUAAUAGAAUGUCGAUAGAAUCAUUCGAUGCCUUUUAGCUUGUGAUCUUUAUAAAUGUCCCUCUAUUAAAUUAGAAAAUGAUUCUCUUCUCGUUUAAUUGUAUUCUUUCGUUUCUUAUUUCCAAUUAAUUAGUCCUAUCGACGUUGCAAUAUUUUAAGUGACUUGAGUCCGUUUCCAGUUAGAAUAUAUGGGUCAGCACAUGC